Long non-coding RNA from Suricata suricatta (meerkat), 1423 nucleotides. RefSeq lists it as uncharacterized. The record is from RefSeq and is a predicted model, not a curated record. The transcript has 2 exons. Lineage: Eukaryota; Metazoa; Chordata; Mammalia; Carnivora; Herpestidae.
UUGGCAAUGGUGAGCGAGCAGGCUUCUCGGGCGUUGGAUUUUGGUUUCUUUUCAAAACAAAAUGAGAAGAUAGUGCUGACAGUUGAACAAGGAAGUGACCUGAUUUUUACAAGACUGUUGUGGGUGCUGGGUUGAAAAGAGACCAUCGGGAGCAAGGGAAGAAGGGACGGAACGGCUGCAGAAAUCCAGCCUCCUGAUCCCUGAAUGGCAGCUAUGAGAUAUGUUUUGGAACUCAGUGUUGGAGGACUGGCUGGAGAGGUUGCAGGAGAGUUCCCGGGGCCUGUUGAUUCUGUGAUGCUCCUCGAGGAUCAUCCUAAGAGCUCAUCGUCGGCUGUGCCAACAGCCUCUUCUGGUUUGCAAGCACAGAGCUCACUGUAUGGAACCCCCAACUCCCUAAAAUGCAGUGGUUUCCUGUUUUCAGAAAUGAACACUGAGUAAUGCAUAGCCACAUAUGUGCAAAGAGAUGUGUGCAAAGUUGUUCAUUUCAGUGCUGUUAGUAAUAGCAAAAAACUAUUUAUCAAUAUGUAAAGACUGCUUAAAUAAGUAUCAUGGCAACUAUACAGAGAAUUGGGCAGAUUUUUAGGUGUUAACCAUGUAUUUAAAAUUUUUUAAAUGUUUGUUCAUUUUUGAGAGAGACAGAGAGAGAGAGAGACAGAACAUGGAUGGGGGAGGGACAGACAGAGAGGGAGACACAGAAUCUGAGGCAGAGCUGGAGCUCAUGAGCUGGCUAAUAUGAAGAGUUGGAUGCCAGACCAACUGAGCAACCAGGCACCCAAAACAUCAUAGCUCUUGCUUACUUCCUUUUGAGGGUUGCUUUGAACGUGAGCAGAAAACAUGUCAAUAAAGAGAAAUCAACUACGAUGACUUCUCUUCUCAAAGCUCGGAUGAGCAAGACCAUGUGCCAUUGCGCAGGAGGAAAGAAAAUAUUCCCUCCCUAGAGUUCUGCCUCUCGCCUAAACCCUCCAAAAGUUAAGGAAGACUAAUUCAUUUCCACUACUUGGUUGUUAUACUCAAAUAAUUUUGUGUUUGGAGAAAACUCACAGUAUUUAUUAUGGAUAGACUUUUUUUGAUUUUGCACCUAUGAGUUCUACAAGGAAGUACAAGGAACCAGAAUGAUAAAAAAUAGUAUUGGUAUGGUUUGCUAAAUGCAUCACUCCCAGUGUAUAGCCAAAUUGAUCUGUUCAAUGUCAAUUAUUGUAUAGUACGUUCCUCCUUUCUAGAAAACAUGGUAAGCUGCUCCUAGAGAUCAGAAGAGGCACUUGAGGGAGAAGUCUGUGGAAGCAACUAAAUCAUAUCAUGUGUGUGAUAUCACACCAAAAUAUUUUAAAGUGAAACAUAUAACAAAGUCAUGGGUGAGUGUUAAUAUGCCCCAAACCGUUUUUCCUGAAAAACCUAGCUUCAUUAAAUUAGAAACAUUACUGCA